UAUAUGGUCAAGCUACUAAGGGCGCAUGGGGGAUGUCUUGGCAUCAAGAGGCUUUGAAAGGCGUGGAAGACUGCGAAAAGCCCGGGUGAGUUGUCAAACGAGCGUUGACCCCGGGAUUCCUGAACUGACAUACACUAAAUACAUAGGUGUGUGUGGCAGACGCGGUGAACUGAAACAUCUAAGUAACCGCUGGAAAAGAAAGAAAAAUCGAUUUCGUCAGUAGCGGCGAGCGAACGCGAAACAGCCCAAACCGCGGGGGUUUCCUCUGCGGGGUUGUAGGGCCUUUCAUACGGGAGUUACAAAGCAAUCGGCUAGCAGAACGAUCUGGAAAGGUCGACCACAGAGGGUGACAGUCCCGUAAGCGAAAGCUGUAUUGCCUCCCGAAAGGUACCUGAGUAGGUCCGGUCACGUGGAACCCGGACUGAAUCUGCGGGGACCAUCCCGUAAGGCUAAACACUCUUGAAUGACCGAUAGUGAACUCAGUAGGGUGACUGAAAGAUGGGAAGAACCCCUUCUAGGGGAGGACACUGAACCUGAAACCAUGCGCCUACAAGCGGUCGGAGCACUAUGCCCCCUCGGGGGAAUGUGUGACGGCGUGCCUUUUGCAUAAUGAUCCGGCGAGUUACCGUCUGCGGCUUGGUUAAGGCCUUCCGGGCCGAAGCCUUAGGGAAACCGAGUGUGAAUAGCGCGAAUUUGGUCGUAGGUGGUAGACGCGAAACCUGGUGAUCUACCCAUGGACAGGUUGAAGCGCGAGUUAUAUCGCGUGGAGGACCGAACCCACUUAGGUUGAAAACUGAGGGGAUGAUCUGUGGGGAGGAGUGAAAGUCUAAUCAAACCAGGAGAUAGCUCGUUCUCUUCGAAAUAGCUUUAGGGCUAGCCUUGAGUCACUACGCAUCGGGGGUAGAGAUACUGAAUCGGUUUGGGGCCCUUCCCGGGGUACCCUGCUGAACCAAACUCCGAAUACCGAUGCGAUUAUCUCAGGAGUCAGUCCGCGGGGGAUAAGCUCCGCGGUCGAGAGGGAAACAACCCAGACCAUCUGCUAAGGUCCCGAAGUCGUUGCUUAGUCACUAAGGAAGUUGAAUUGCUGAGACAGCCAGGAUGUUGGCUUAGAAGCAGCCANCAUUUAAAAAGUGCGUAACAGCUUACUGGUCGAGCANUUNUGCGCCGAUAAUGAACGGGAGUUAAGNNNNACACCGAAGCAGUGGNNUNUGCAAGCNUUCGNGCGANCACAGUGGUAGNAGAGCGCNGUANGUCAGAUACNAGNCGNACCGAAAGGAGCGNUGNUGGGGCNUACNGGUGAUUAUGCCGGAAUGAGUAACGAUAAAGCAGGUGAGAAUCCUGCUCGCCGAAAGCCUAAGGUUUCCUGGGCAAGGUAAAUCCGCCCAGGGUUAGCCGGUUCCUAAGUCGAGGCCGAAAGGCGUAGACGAUGGAUAGCAGGUCAACAUUCCUGCGCCACGAAGUGGACUGAUGGAGUGACGGCGUUUGGANGGUGAGGGGCCGAUUAGAAAUGGCCCUCGCCUNAUCGCAAGGUGGUAGAUAGGUAAAUCCGCUACNUAAUCUGAGCGAUNGGGACAACGGCAUUUAUGUUCCGAUAGUCAUCUGAAGNACGUCCAAGAAAAACUUCUAGGGUUGAAGCUUCGUGACCGUACUAAAACUGACACAGGUAGGCNGGUCGAGUAGACCAAGGCGCUCGGGAGAACACUGGUUAAGGAACUCUGCAAAAUGGCCCCGUAAGUUCGCGAUAAGGGGUGCCCUCUNGGGUUUACGCUCUGGGGGGCCACAGUAAAUCGGCUUCUGCGACUGUUUAUCAAAAACACAGGACUCUGCUAACUCGUAAGAGGAUGUAUAGAGUCUGACGCCUGCCCGGUGCUGGUAGGUUAAGGAAGACAGUNAGNCCUUCGGGNNANAGCUGGCGACCGAAGCCCCAGUAAACGGCGGCCGUAACUAUGACGGUCCUAAGGUAGCGAAGUUCCUUGUCGGGUAAGUUCCGACCUGCAUGAAAGGCGUAACGACUGAUGCACUGUCUCAACCAGUGACCCGGUGAAAUUGUAGCCGUGGUGAAGAUGCCACGUACCCGCAGUAUGACGGAAAGACCCCGUGAACCUUUACUGUAGGCUGAUAUUGGUCUUGGACGUGUUCUGUGUAGGAUAGGUGGGAGGCUUUGAAGCAGUGACGCUAGUCAUUGUGGAGCCAACGUUGAAAUACCACCCUGGAUUCGUUUGAGUUCUAACGCUGAUUCCCGUGAAACCGGGCAGCGGACAGUUUCAGUUGGGCAGUUUGACUGGGGCGGUCUCCUCCCAAAGAGUAACGGAGGAGUUCAAAGGUACCCUCAGCCUGGUUGGCAAUCAGGCAUUGAGCGCAAAGGUAGAAGGGUGCUUGACUGCGAGACUCAUAAGUCGAGCAGAUACGAAAGUAGGACUUAGUGAUCCGGUGGUUCUGAAUGGAAGGGCCAUCGCUCAUCAGAUAAAAGGUACUCCGGGGAUAACAGGCUUAUCGCUUCCGAGCGUCCAUAGCGGCGAAGCGGUUUGGCACCUCGAUGUCGGCUCAUCACAUCCUGGGGGUGGAGAAGCUCCCAAGGGUUUGGCUGUUCGCCAAUGAAAGUGGUACGUGAGCUGGGUUCAGACCGUCGUGAGACAGGUCGGUCCCUAUCUGCCGUGGGCGUUCGAAACUUGAGGAGAUUCAUCUUUAGUACGAGAGGAUUUGGAUGGACGAACCUCUGGUGUUCCAGUUGUCGCGCUAGCGGCACGGCUGGAUAGCUAAGUUCGGAAAGGAUAAACGCUGAAAGCAUCUAAGCGUGAAGCCCGCUCCGAGAUAAGGUUUCGUUGGGCUAUGCCCGAAAGUCCCCUGGAAGACGACCAGGUUGAUAGGCUGGNUGUGUAAGCACAGUAAUGUGUUCAGCUAACCAGUACUAAUGGACGAAUGCUUGACCAUAUAU
Molecule: ribosomal RNA, 2935 nt
Filed under: Planctomycetaceae bacterium TMED10
Lineage: Bacteria; Pseudomonadati; Planctomycetota; Planctomycetia; Planctomycetales; Planctomycetaceae
Description: bacterial LSU rRNA
Rfam family: Bacterial large subunit ribosomal RNA
Source: RNAcentral